This 253-nucleotide ribosomal RNA is filed under the name uncultured bacterium. Its description in RNAcentral is "partial small subunit ribosomal RNA". It matches the Rfam family "Bacterial small subunit ribosomal RNA", at positions 26 to 285 of the family's 1533-position model. The record is from RNAcentral.
AGGACGAACGCUGGCGGCGUGCUUAACACAUGCAAGUCGAGCGGAAAGGCCCUUCGGGGUACUCGAGCGGCGAACGGGUGAGUAACACGUGAGUAAUCUGCCCCUAGCUCUGGGAUAGCUCCGGGAAAACCGGGAUUAAUACCGGAUACGACCUCAUUAGGCAUCCUUUGAGGUGGAAAGAUUUAUCGGCUAGGGAUGGGCCCGCGGCCUAUCAGCUUGUUGGUGGGUAACGCCUACCAAGGCGACGACGGUA